GGAUGUUCUGAAGACCUGCACUCUAGGCCACGCACGGAGGACAUUAGUUCCUCACGGGCCCCGCGCCCGCCUAGGGGAAAGUCCCCGGACCGCCGGCAGAGAGUGCCGGGCGCGGGCGCGCCCCGCCCGCCGCCGCCUCACGCCUAACCCCGCCGAGAGGCCCUCGGGCUGAGCGGGUGAGCGCGGGGCGGGCCCUCGUCACCGCCACAGACACGCAGGUAGUGCAACGGGCGCACCAACAGAACGGGGCUCACUCUCAGGCCAUC
RNAcentral lists this RNase MRP RNA (266 nucleotides) under Calidris pygmaea (Spoon-billed sandpiper). Its description in RNAcentral is "RNase MRP (ENSCPGG00000012326.1)". It matches the Rfam family "RNase MRP". From Rfam's summary of the family: RNase MRP is an enzymatically active ribonucleoprotein with two distinct roles in eukaryotes. In mitochondria it plays a direct role in the initiation of mitochondrial DNA replication. The record is from Rfam by way of RNAcentral. Lineage: Eukaryota; Metazoa; Chordata; Aves; Charadriiformes; Scolopacidae.